This 494-nucleotide ribosomal RNA is filed under the name uncultured bacterium. RNAcentral describes it as "partial 16S ribosomal RNA". It matches the Rfam family "Bacterial small subunit ribosomal RNA", at positions 28 to 507 of the family's 1533-position model. The record is from RNAcentral.
GACGAACGCUGGCGGCGUGCUUAACACAUGCAAGUCGAACGGUGAAGCGCCUUCCUUUUUGGUGGGUGUGGAUGAGUGGCGAACGGGUGAGUAACACGUGAGUAACCUGCCCCCUUCUUCUGGAUAACCGCAUGAAAGUGUGGCUAAUACGGGAUAUUCUGGGUCUGUCGCAUGAUGGGUCUGGGAAAGAUAUUGUUUCGGUGGGGGAUGGGCUCGCGGCCUAUCAGCUUGUUGGUGGGGUGAUGGCCUACCAAGGCGGUGACGGGUAGCCGGCCUGAGAGGGUGGACGGUCACACUGGGACGGAGACACGGCCCAGACUCCUACGGGAGGCAGCAGGGGGGAAUAUUGCACAAUGGGCGCAAGCCUGAUGCAGCGACGCCGCGUGAGGGAUGGAGGCCUGCGGGUUGUGAACCUCUUUCGCCAGUGAAGCAGGCCUGCCUCGUUUGUGGGUGGGUUGACGGUAGCUGGAUAAGAAGCGCCGGCUAACUACGUG